Molecule: ribosomal RNA, 253 nt
Filed under: uncultured bacterium
Lineage: Bacteria
Description: partial 16S ribosomal RNA
Rfam family: Bacterial small subunit ribosomal RNA
Source: RNAcentral
UACAGAGACUGCAAGCGUUAUUCGGAUUCACUGGGCGUAAAGGGUGCGCAGGCGGCCGUGUGUGUGAGGCGUGAAAGCCCGGGGCUUAACCCCGGAAUUGCACCUCAAACUACAUGGCUAGAGCAUUGGAGAGGGUAGCAGAAUUCAUGGUGUAGCAGUGAAAUGCGUAGAGAUCUGGAGGAACACCGAUGGCGAAGGCAGCCCCCUGGGCUAACACUGACGCUCAUGCACGAAAGCCAGGGGAGCAAACGGG